Podarcis muralis (Common wall lizard) is the source of this 1437-nucleotide non-coding RNA. NCBI's taxonomy places the organism in Eukaryota, Metazoa, Chordata, Lepidosauria, Squamata, Lacertidae. The record is from RefSeq and is a predicted model, not a curated record.
GGUUAAGAACGGACCUCUGGAACGAAUUAAGUACUUAACCCGAGGUACCACUGUAUUUUUGAACACAAAUAAAUUCCGUAAAUUCUGUUAAAAAUCCAUAGUUAGCAACAAUAAACAAUAAUAACAUUAAAAUUACCAGCAUAAAACAAUAACCAUAAACUACCCUCAUUCAUACCUCCUCAGAUCAAAAGCUAUUGAGAAAAAAUUAGGUUGUUAAGGCCUUCUUUUAAAAAAAUGAAUUGAAUUCCAAAAUUGUGGAGCCACCACUGAGAAGGCCCUAUUAUGCAACCUGGCAGUCUAAUUGCUUUUACUGGUGGGUAUGCUGGCUGGGGCUGAUGGAAGUGUAGUCCAACAACAUAUGGUGGUCCACAGUUUCACUAUCCCUGCCUUAAAGAACUGCCAAAGAUCCAGCAGGAAGACAGUAGUGGCUUAUCACAUGUGAGAGGUAGCAAUACUGUUGCUUGGGACACUGAAUCAAAUCCUCUGUAAGUGAAGGGUACUGUUCUGUAUCUCAGACUCUUCCCUUGUAGUCACAAUACUCUUGAAUGGCAUCAUUGGGAAGUGGACAUCCAUAAACCUGAUCUUUUAGAAGGAGUUAUAUAUAUUAAGUAAUCUCCCUAUGCUCUAUUACAGCCAGCUUUGUCCUCUUUCUAAACUGUAGGGAGCUGCUGAGCUGACAAAACAGGAGCUACAGAUAGCGAUAGAUCGUUCUAGGCUUCAACAUUAGGACUUUGAACCAACAUAUUUCUAAACUCGAUCUGUAUGAACUGAGAUAACUGUGGCAGGGUUUGAUUAAACAAGCACCGGGAGGAAAGGCAUUCAAAAAGCCAGAGCUUAUGUCAAGGUCUGUUUGCAGAUCACCGAGAAACCAAGUGGCAGAUAGAAGAACAAGUUCACAUAUAUCAGCUGAUUUUAUUUAAGCAUUCGUUAGUGGCGGUGGCUGAAAGUGCAGACAGUAGAUGCCUACUAUAUUUUGACAGGAACGCUGUUCCACAGAACAAGGGCAAUUCUGUGCUCCUGAAAGCCAGCUCUGAGUUAUUGUGGAGUGGACUUCUGAGAACUUUGGAACUUGCAGGACAAGCUCUACCAUAGGCUGCAGAGACCCACAGGAUGAAUAAGGGGUAUUUCUUGCUGCCAUUCUUACUUGGUUUCCAGCACAGCCGAAGAUGUUCCCUAGGCCUAUGGGUAAGUGUGAUUUCUUCAAGGCUAGCUGCAAUCUGAUGAAUGUCUGUUUGCUACAUAAUAUGGUAGUAUUUUAGACGAGCUUUAAACUGUCAUCUUCUGUGUUAUAGCAGCACUGAAGUGACCUUCCGAGGCAGCAGACCUGUGCAGUGUGUAUAGAGGUCCUGGGAAGCCCUGAUGAUGAGACCCCCUUUCAGCCUCCCUGUAUAAUAUGUAGUGUCUAUAGAUUAGGUUGCAAUCUUUCUAUUUCACAAA